GGCAGUAAAAGUCAUAACAAGGUUUCCGUAGGUGAACCUGCGGAAGGAUCAUUAUUGUAUAACCGAGGUGCGAGGGCUGUCGCUGACCCGAAAGGUCGUGCACGCCCGAGUGCCCUCACACACAUCCAUCUCACCCCUAUGUGCACCACCGCGUGGGUCCCCCUUUGGCUUGUUCGGAGGGGGGCUUACGUUUUCACACAAACUUUGUAUGCAGUGUAGAGUGUAUUUUUUGUUUUUGCGAUCACGCAAUCAAUACAACUUUCAACAACGGAUCUCUUGGCUCUC
RNAcentral lists this unclassified non-coding RNA (285 nucleotides) under plant metagenome. RNAcentral describes it as "partial contains small subunit ribosomal RNA, internal transcribed spacer 1, and 5.8S ribosomal RNA". The stretch from base 1 to 54 matches the Rfam family "Eukaryotic small subunit ribosomal RNA", at positions 1778 to 1831 of the family's 1831-position model. The record is from RNAcentral.